AGAACGAACGCUGGCGGCAUGCCUAAUACAUGCAAGUCGAACGAACUCUUCGGAGUUAGUGGCGCACGGGUGCGUAACGCGUGGGAAUCUGCCCUUGGGUUCGGAAUAACAGUUGGAAACGACUGCUAAUACCGGAUGAUGACGAAAGUCCAAAGAUUUAUCGCCCAGGGAUGAGCCCGCGUAGGAUUAGCUAGUUGGUGAGGUAAAGGCUCACCAAGGCGACGAUCCUUAGCUGGUCUGAGAGGAUGAUCAGCCACACUGGGACUGAGACACGGCCCAGACUCCUACGGGAGGCAGCAGUAGGGAAUAUUGGACAAUGGGCGAAAGCCUGAUCCAGCAAUGCCGCGUGAGUGAUGAAGGCCUUAGGUGUAAAGCUCUUUACCCGGGAAGAUAAUGACUGUACCGGAGAAUAAGCUCGGCUAACUCCGUGCCAGCAGCCGAC
This 442-nucleotide ribosomal RNA is filed under the name uncultured soil bacterium. RNAcentral describes it as "bacterial SSU rRNA". It matches the Rfam family "Bacterial small subunit ribosomal RNA", at positions 26 to 518 of the family's 1533-position model. The record is from RNAcentral.